UACGAAGGGGGCUAGCGUUGCUCGGAAUUACUGGGCGUAAAGGGCUCGUAGGCGGCCCACUAAGUCAGAUGUGAAGUCCCCAGGCUCAACCUGGGAACUGCAUCUGAUACUGGUGGGCUUGAAUUCGGGAGAGGGAUGCAGAAUUCCAGGUGUAGCGGUGAAAUGCGUAGAUAUCUGGAGGAAUACCGGUGGCGAAGGCGGCAUCCUGGACCGACAUUGACGCUGAGGAGCGAAAGCUAGGGGAGCAAACGGG
Molecule: ribosomal RNA, 253 nt
Filed under: uncultured bacterium
Lineage: Bacteria
Description: partial 16S ribosomal RNA
Rfam family: Bacterial small subunit ribosomal RNA
Source: RNAcentral